This 526-nucleotide ribosomal RNA is filed under the name Triatoma venosa. Its description in RNAcentral is "partial 16S ribosomal RNA". It matches the Rfam family "Bacterial large subunit ribosomal RNA", at positions 1808 to 2608 of the family's 2925-position model. Lineage: Eukaryota; Metazoa; Arthropoda; Insecta; Hemiptera; Reduviidae. The record is from RNAcentral.
CAAAAACAUGUCCUUUUGAUAAUUUUUAUAAGGUCUAACCUGCCCAAUGAGUAAUUGAAUGGCCGCGGUAUUUUAACCGUGCUAAGGUAGCAUAAUCAUUUGUCUUUUAAUUGAGGGCUGGAAUGAAUGGUUGGACGAGAUAUUAACUUUCUUUAACUUAUCAUUAGAAUUUAAUUUUUAAGUUAAAAAGCUUAAAUUUUUUUAUAAGACGAGAAGACCCUAUAGAUCUUUAUAAUUUUUUGUAUUUAAGAUUUUGGUGUAUUAUAGCUUGUAUUUAAUAAAUUAUUUUAUUGGGGUGAUUGUAGAAUUUAAUUAACUUCUAUUUUUUAGUUUCAUUAAUUAGUGUGUUUUUGAUCCAUGUUUUAUGAUUAAAAGAUUAAGUUACCUUAGGGAUAACAGCGUAAUUUUUUCGGAGAGUUCAUAUUGAUGAAGGAGUUUGCGACCUCGAUGUUGGAUUAAAAUAAGUAAUAGAUGCAGAAGUUUAUUUACUAGGUCUGUUCGACCUUUAAUUUUUUACAUGAUCUGA